UUUACUUGAAAAUCAUCCACAGCUUUGCCCAUGGCCGUAGGUAAGAUUCAGCACCUAAGUCAGUGGGGCCUCAGCUCACUGCCCACUCUCCAGUGUGAAGAGGUGAAAUUCAGGCUUCUAGACAC
This is a small nucleolar RNA of Suncus etruscus (white-toothed pygmy shrew), 125 nucleotides long. RefSeq annotates it as small nucleolar RNA ACA64. The record is from RefSeq and is a predicted model, not a curated record. The transcript has a single exon. Lineage: Eukaryota; Metazoa; Chordata; Mammalia; Eulipotyphla; Soricidae.